AUGCCGCCGGGGAAGGGCGGGGAGAAGAAGGGGAGGAGGAGGAGGUGGCUGCCGGCGGCGUGCCUCCCGCGGCCCGGGUGCUUCACGGUGUCCGGCGCCGACGAGGGGCCCUCGGGCUCCGGCUCCGGCGCCGACGAGGGAGGCGGAGAGGGGGGCAGCAGUCGGGCGCCCACGCAUCUGAUCGUGACCGUCAAUGGGAUCGUCGGCAGUGCAGAAAAUUGGGGUUACGCAGCAAAACAUUUCAUCAGAAAACACCCUGAGGAUGUGGUUGUUCAUUGCAGUGGAUGCAACUCAGCAACUCGAACUUUCGAUGGUGUUGAUGUGAUGGGAAGGAGAUUAGCGGAGGAGGUGCUUUCAGUUGUUAAGUGUAGACCAGAACUUCAGAAGAUCUCCUUUGUUGCACACUCAUUGGGUGGGUUGAUUGCAAGAUACGCCAUUGCACUACUAUAUGAGCCUGCUACACAAACAGAUUGUCAUGAGGAGUAUGAGAAGGAUGUCACUGAUGCUCGUAGCAACCAACCGAUGGGUCAAGGCAAGAUUGCUGGUUUGGAGCCCAUGAACUUUAUAACUUUUGCAACACCACACCUUGGCACAAGAUCACAUAAACAGAUGCCCCUUCUCCGUGGUUCCUAUAGAUUGGAAAAGAUGGCUUUUGGUAUGUCCUGGCUUGCUGGGAGAAGUGGAAAACAUCUUUUUCUAAAGGAUGUUGAAGAUGAGAAGCCACCAUUACUUCUUCAGAUGGUUACUGAUUACGGGGAUCUCCAUUUCAUAUCAGCUCUUCGUUCUUUCAGGCGUUGUGUUGCUUACUCAAAUGUUUGUGGUGAUUUCGUUGUUGGCUGGAAGACAUCUUCAAUACGCCGUCAACAUGAGCUUCCCAAGAAAGAAGAUUUUGUGGAUGAUGUAAGAUAUCCACAUGUUGUAUAUGUGGAAAAACCAAAGGUUCGGGAUGUUGAUUUUUCGGAUGAAAUGAUUUAUCAGGCAAAAACUACAAGUGAAAUGGAAGAGGUAAUGCUGAAAAGCCUAAAUAGAAUUCCCUGGGAAAGGGUAGAUGUUAGCUUCAAGAGAAGUAGACAAAGGAUUUUUGCUCAUAGCACCAUUCAGGUGAAGACGUAUUUCUUCAACUCUGAUGGGGCUGAUGUGGUCUUCCACAUGAUCGACCAUUUUCUCUACUAA
This 1173-nucleotide ribosomal RNA is filed under the name Triticum aestivum (bread wheat). RNAcentral's name for it is "partial small subunit ribosomal RNA". Lineage: Eukaryota; Viridiplantae; Streptophyta; Magnoliopsida; Poales; Poaceae. The record is from RNAcentral.